UCCACGCAGUAAACGGUGAUCACUAGGUGUUGCGGGUGUUGACCCCUGCAGUGCCGGAGUUAACGCAUUAAGUGAUCCGCCUGGGGAGUACGGUCGCAAGAUUAAAACUCAAAGGAAUUGACGGGGGCCCGCACAAGCGGUGGAGCAUGUGGUUUAAUUCGACGCAACGCGAAGAACCUUACCUGGGCUUGACAUUGAUAGAACCCUUUGGAAACUUAGGGGUGCCCCUGGGG
This 233-nucleotide ribosomal RNA is filed under the name uncultured bacterium. RNAcentral describes it as "partial 16S ribosomal RNA". It matches the Rfam family "Bacterial small subunit ribosomal RNA", at positions 794 to 1025 of the family's 1533-position model. The record is from RNAcentral.